UACCAGACUCCUACGGGAGGCAGCAGUGGGGAAUAUUGGGCAAUGGGCGCAAGCCUGACCCAGCAACGCCGCGUGAAGGAAGAAGGCUUUCGGGUUGUAAACUUCUUUUCUCAGGGACGAAGAAAGUGACGGUACCUGAGGAAUAAGCCCCGGCUAACUACGUGCCAGCAGCCGCGGUAAUACGUAGGGGGCAAGCGUUGUUCGGAAUGACUGGGCGUAAAGGGUGUGUAGGCGGUGUAGCAAGUUAGAAGUGAAAUACCUAGAGCUUAACUCAGGUGCUGCUUCUAAAACUGCUAUACUUGAGUGCAGUAGAGGAAAGUGGAAUUCCUAGUGUAGCGGUGGAAUGCGUAGAUAUUAGGAGGAACAUCAGUGGCGAAGGCGGCUUGCUGGACAGAGACUGACGUUGAGGCUCGAAAGCGUGGAGAGCAAACAGGAUUAGAUACCCGCGUAC
This 451-nucleotide ribosomal RNA is filed under the name uncultured bacterium. RNAcentral's name for it is "partial 16S ribosomal RNA". It matches the Rfam family "Bacterial small subunit ribosomal RNA", at positions 329 to 793 of the family's 1533-position model. The record is from RNAcentral.